UACGUAGGGCGCAAGCGUUGUCCGGAAUUAUUGGGCGUAAAGAGCUCGUAGGCGGCUUGUCACGUCGGAUGUGAAAGCCCGAGGCUUAACCUCGGGUCUGCAUUCGAUACGGGCUAGCUAGAGUGUGGUAGGGGAGAUCGGAAUUCCUGGUGUAGCGGUGAAAUGCGCAGAUAUCAGGAGGAACACCGGUGGCGAAGGCGGAUCUCUGGGCCAUUACUGGCGCUGAGGAGCGAAAGCGUGGGGAGCGAACAGG
RNAcentral lists this ribosomal RNA (253 nucleotides) under uncultured bacterium. RNAcentral's name for it is "partial 16S ribosomal RNA". It matches the Rfam family "Bacterial small subunit ribosomal RNA", at positions 524 to 776 of the family's 1533-position model. The record is from RNAcentral.